CUUUCGCCAAUUGCAUACUUCAGUAUGUACCAUGGAUCAUUAUCUCAUUUACCAACAGGUUAUUUGUGGAGUCCUCAUCUGGUGCCAAAGCCAAGUGAUUGGGGUCCUUUGGUUGAUGUUGUCGGUUAUUGUUUCUUAAACCUUGGGUCGAAGUACAAGCCUAAGGAAGAAUUCAAUGAAUGGAUUCAGAAAGGAACAAAACCCAUAUAUAUUGGGUUUGGGAGCAUGCCUCUUGAAGAUCCCAAGAAAACUACGGACAUAAUAAUGGAAGCAUUAAAAGAUACUGGGCAAAGAGGAAUAAUUGACCGAGGUUGGGGAGAUCUAGGGAAUUUUACUGAGGUUCUUGAUACUGUCUUCCUUUUGGAGGAUUGCCCCCAUGAUUGGUUGUUUCCUCAAUGUGCUGCUGUGGUUCAUCAUGGUGGUGCUGGAACCACGGCCACAGGACUAAAAGCUGGGGUGCCCAACGACUGUAGUGCCAUUCUUUGGAGAUCAGUUUUUCUGGGGUGAUAAAGUACAUAAACAAGGGCUGGGACCAGCACCAAUACCAAUAGCUGAGCUCAGUGUUGAGAACCUUUCAAAUGCAAUAAGGUUCAUGCUCCAGCCAGAGGUGAAAUCUCGAGCAAUAGAAUUAGCAAAGUUGAUAGAGAACGAAGAUGGUGUAGCAGCUGCAGUUGACGCAUUUCACCGGCAUUUACCUCCUGAACUUCCUCUGCCUACUGUUUAUUUAGAUGAAGACGAACAUCCUGACCCUCUACAAUGGUUCUUUAUUCAACUCCAAAAGUGGUGCUGCCUUCCUUGUGGCGUGUAGGCUUCUUCGCUGUUUCUUUUACUGUUGUAUAGAUAUGAUUCACUCUCUUUCAUUUUUAUAUCACAGGUUAGAUGUGACUUC
This 889-nucleotide unclassified non-coding RNA is filed under the name Hevea brasiliensis (rubber tree). The record is from RNAcentral. Lineage: Eukaryota; Viridiplantae; Streptophyta; Magnoliopsida; Malpighiales; Euphorbiaceae.